GAUGAACGCUAGCGGCAGGCCUAAUACAUGCCAGUCGAACGGGAUCCAGAUCAAAGCUUGCUUUGGUCUGGUGAGAGUGGCGCACGGGUGCGUAACGCGUGAGCAACCUACCCUUGUCAGGGGUAUAGCCCGGCGAAAGUCGGAUUAAUACCGCAUGACAGCAUUGAAAGGCAUCUUUCGAUGAUCAAAGAUUUAUCAGACAAGGAUGGGCUCGCGUGACAUUAGCUAGUUGGUCAGGUAACGGCUUACCAAGGCUGCGAUGUGUAGGGGCUCUGGGAGGGCGAUCCCCCAUCUUAGUACAGGACCAGGGACAAGGCUCCUGAGGCAGGCAGCAGUAAGGAAUAUUAGGCAAGGGACGGGAGUCUGAACCAGCCGGGCCGCGUGCAGGAGGACGGCGCUAUGGGUUGUAAGCUGCUUUUAUACAGGAACAGCCGUCGGUACGUGUACCGGUAUGAGUGUACCGUAAUAAUAAGGAUCGGCUAACUCCGUG
This 490-nucleotide ribosomal RNA is filed under the name uncultured bacterium. RNAcentral's name for it is "partial 16S ribosomal RNA". It matches the Rfam family "Bacterial small subunit ribosomal RNA", at positions 28 to 507 of the family's 1533-position model. The record is from RNAcentral.